UUGGUAAAAAGGUAAAAGUCCCAUCCUAAUAUUCUAAGUUCAGAGGACAAGUAUUAAUUAAGCCCCCCACCCCUCUCUUUUAUUUAUACCCAAAAUGAAAACCCAUCCUCUCCAUCUUCUAAAAUCCCUAACAUCGACUCUUCCAAAGGCUGCCGAUGGCUAAAGAUUUACAAACUGGAACACAUGAGUUGUUAAUCUGAGCUGACAGGUGUGGAUUUGGUGGCUGAGCUUGUGGUGUGACUUUGGGUCCAAAAGGAAGGAAUGUACUGCUUGGAAAUAAGUAUGGCUCUCCCAAGAUUGUUAAUGAUGAUGAAACUUUUCUUAAAGAGAUCCAGGCUAAAGGAACCUCGAUGCAAAUGGUGGGUAUGGAUUGGUUGAAGUCUGACAAACAGAACAUGAUAUUGGUAGUCGGCCUGAGGGCAUUGUUUAGGUUUUUCUUUUAUUCAAUUAAUAUACAAUGAUCAUAUUGUUUUGGCCUGAGCCUACUUCAAUUUCCUACAAAGCUUCUAUCCAAAUGCUUCAUUUUGCUGGUUUUCCACUUGUAUUCAGGUCUGAGGUUUGACAUAUAGUCUUGCUCUCUACCAUUUGAUGGAUACCCCUUUGGAGGAUUCACCUUUGCUGGAGAGUUUUGUCAAAGGAAAUGAUGCUUAUAGAAACUCGAUGUUCAAGCUUAUACCAUCCAUAUUCAAGGAGUUGGAGACUUUCAUUUACACUUCAAGAUGCAAGUUUGAAUACUUUGAACAAGUUGACAAAUUGGUUAUCGUUUUGAUAGGAUUAUUUGGCAAAAUAUUGUAUUAUAUACUUAGAGAUAUUAGCUUUUUUGGCUGAUUGAGUUGUAUAAACAGUAGUGACUAUAUGUUUUUGUAAACAGUACUGCUUGUGGGAGGUUAAUCCAUUCCUUUAGUGAAUACAAUUUGAUUAUCUAUAUAAGAAAUUGUACAGUAUCUUAGAAAAACCGAAAAGAGCAUGUAUUAUUUGAGUGCUA
Long non-coding RNA from Lycium barbarum (goji berry), 985 nucleotides. RefSeq lists it as uncharacterized. The record is from RefSeq and is a predicted model, not a curated record. NCBI's taxonomy places the organism in Eukaryota, Viridiplantae, Streptophyta, Magnoliopsida, Solanales, Solanaceae. The transcript has 4 exons.